This 77-nucleotide transfer RNA is filed under the name bacterium (Candidatus Howlettbacteria) CG_4_10_14_3_um_filter_37_10. RNAcentral's name for it is "tRNA-Pro". It matches the Rfam family "tRNA". Rfam says of the family: Transfer RNA (tRNA) molecules are approximately 80 nucleotides in length. Their secondary structure includes four short double-helical elements and three loops (D, anti-codon, and T loops). The record is from RNAcentral. RNAcentral also lists the same sequence under 2 other names.
CGGGGUGUAGCGCAGCUCGGUAGCGCGCAGCGUUCGGGACGCUGAGGCCGUGGGUUCGAAUCCCGCCACCCCGACCA